CCUACGGGCGGCUGCAGUGGGGAAUAUUGGGCAAUGGGCGCAAGCCUGACCCAGCAACGCCGCGUGAAGGAAGAAGGCUUUCGGGUUGUAAACUUCUUUUAUUGAGGACGAAACACAUGACGGUACUCAAUGAAUACGUCACGGCUAACUACGUGCCCGCAGCCGCGGUAAUACGUAGGUGGCAAGCGUUAUCCGGAUUUACUGGGUGUAAAGGGCGUGUAGGCGGGACUGCAAGUCAGAUGUGAAAACCAUGGGCUCAACCCAUGGCCUGCAUUUGAAACUGUUGAUCUUGAGUACUGGAGAGGCAGAUGGAAUUCCUAGUGUAGCGGUGAAAUGCGUAGAUAUUAGGAGGAACACCAGUGGCGAAGGCGGUCUGCUGGACAGCAACUGACGGUGAGGCGCGAAAGCGUGGGGAGCAAACAGGAUUAGAUACCCGAGUAGUC
This 443-nucleotide ribosomal RNA is filed under the name uncultured bacterium. RNAcentral describes it as "partial 16S ribosomal RNA". It matches the Rfam family "Bacterial small subunit ribosomal RNA", at positions 338 to 795 of the family's 1533-position model. The record is from RNAcentral.